RNAcentral lists this ribosomal RNA (472 nucleotides) under uncultured bacterium. RNAcentral describes it as "partial 16S ribosomal RNA". It matches the Rfam family "Bacterial small subunit ribosomal RNA", at positions 28 to 507 of the family's 1533-position model. The record is from RNAcentral.
GACGAACGCUGGCGGCGUGCUUAACACAUGCAAGUCGAACGCUGAAGCUUGGUGCUUGCGCUGGGUGGAUGAGUGGCGAACGGGUGAGUAAUACGUGAGUAACCUGCCCUUGACUCUGGGAUAAGCCUGGGAAACUGGGUCUAAUACUGGAUACGACAUGUCACCGCAUGGUGGUGUGUGGAAAGGGUUUUACUGGUUUUGGAUGGGCUCACGGCCUAUCAGCUUGUUGGUGGGGUAAUGGCUCACCAAGGCGACGACGGGUAGCCGGCCUGAGAGGGUGACCGGCCACACUGGGACUGAGACACGGCCCAGACUCCUACGGGAGGCAGCAGUGGGGAAUAUUGCACAAUGGGCGGAAGCCUGAUGCAGCGACGCCGCGUGAGGGAUGACGGCCUUCGGGUUGUAAACCUCUUUCAGCACGGAAGAAGCGAAAGUGACGGUACGUGCAGAAGAAGCGCCGGCUAACUACGUG